Molecule: ribosomal RNA, 454 nt
Filed under: uncultured bacterium
Lineage: Bacteria
Description: bacterial SSU rRNA
Rfam family: Bacterial small subunit ribosomal RNA
Source: RNAcentral
UACGGGAGGCAGCAGUGGGGAAGUAUUGCACAAUGGGCGCAAGCCUGAUGCAGCCAUGCCGCGUGUAUGAAAAAGGCCUUCGGGUUGUAAAGUACUUUCAGUCGUGAGGAAGGUGUUAAGGUUAAUAACCUUAGCAAUUGACGUUAGCGACAGAAGAAGCACCGGCUAACUCCGUGCCAGCAGCCGCGGUAAUACGGAGGGUGCGAGCGUUAAUCGGAAUUACUGGGCGUAAAGGGCACGCAGGCGGUUAAUUAAGUUGGAUGUGAAAUCCCCGGGCUUAACCUGGGAAUGGCAUUCAAGACUGGUUAGCUAGAGUCUUGUAGAGGGGGUAGAAUUCCAUGUGUAGCGGUGAAAUGCGUAGAGAUGUGGAGGAUACCGGUGGCGAAGGCGGCCCCUGGACAAAGACUGACGCUCAUGUGCGAAAGCGUGGGGAGCAAACGAGGGAUUAGAUACC